UGGUUCUGGCAUCGAUGAAGAACGCAGCGAAAUGCGAUAAGUAGUGUGAAUUGCAGAAUUCAGUGAAUCAUCGAAUCUUUGAACGCACAUUGCGCCCCUCCUCUGGGGGGGCAUGCCUGUUCGAGCGUCAUUUCGACCCUCAAGCCUCGCUUGGUGUUGGGCGCCUGUCCCGCUUCCCGCGGCGACUCACCCUAAAACGAUCGGCGCCGGCGGCCAUGCCGGGAGCGCAGCAGACCGCUGCUCCCGCGUGGCCGGCGGCCACCGCAAGCAGAAACACAGUCCGACCUCGGAUCAGGCAGGGAUACCCGCUGA
This 312-nucleotide unclassified non-coding RNA is filed under the name uncultured fungus. RNAcentral describes it as "partial contains 5.8S ribosomal RNA and internal transcribed spacer 2". The stretch from base 1 to 130 matches the Rfam family "5.8S ribosomal RNA", at positions 22 to 154 of the family's 154-position model. The record is from RNAcentral. Lineage: Eukaryota; Fungi.